CUUGCUUCUCUUGAGAGCGGCGGACGGGUGAGUAAUGCCUAGGAAUCUGCCUGGUAGUGGGGGAUAACGUCCGGAAACGGACGCUAAUACCGCAUACGUCCUACGGGAGAAAGCAGGGGACCUUCGGGCCUUGCGCUAUCAGAUGAGCCUAGGUCGGAUUAGCUAGUUGGUGGGGUAAUGGCUCACCAAGGCGACGAUCCGUAACUGGUCUGAGAGGAUGAUCAGUCACACUGGAACUGAGACACGGUCCAGACUCCUACGGGAGGCAGCAGUGGGGAAUAUUGGACAAUGGGCGAAAGCCUGAUCCAGCCAUGCCGCGUGUGUGAAGAAGGUCUUCGGAUUGUAAAGCACUUUAAGUUGGGAGGAAGGGCAGUAAAUUAAUACUUUGCUGUUUUGACGUUACCGACAGAAUAAGCACCGGCUAACUCUGUGCCAGCAGCCGCGGUAAUACAGAGGGUGCAAGCGUUAAUCGGAAUUACUGGGCGUAAAGCGCGCGUAGGUGGUUCGUUAAGUUGGAUGUGAAAUCCCCGGGCUCAACCUGGGAACUGCAUUCAAAACUGACGAGCUAGAGUAUGGUAGAGGGUGGUGGAAUUUCCUGUGUAGCGGUGAAAUGCGUAGAUAUAGGAAGGAACACCAGUGGCGAAGCGACCACCUGGACUGAUACUGACACUGAGGUGCGAAAGCGUGGGGAGCAAACAGGAUUAGAUACCCUGGUAGUCCACGCCGUAAACGAUGUCAACUAGCCGUUGGGGAGCCUUGAGCUCUUAGUGGCGCAGCUAACGCAUUAAGUUGACCGCCUGGGGAGUACGG
Molecule: ribosomal RNA, 810 nt
Filed under: uncultured bacterium
Lineage: Bacteria
Description: bacterial SSU rRNA
Rfam family: Bacterial small subunit ribosomal RNA
Source: RNAcentral